UAAAUUACAGUCAGAAUUGAAUAAUUGAACGUUUUGCGUGGUCUCUCAAGAUUUUUCCAUACAUGGGCCUAAUUUUUGGUUUAAGCAUAGCUAAAUAAUGUCUUCUUCGACGUCUAUUAUUUUAGAUAUUUGCGCGAUGGCUGUUGUGGAUCGUACGUACUGCUGCUGCCGCUGGAAUUGUAAGGAUGGCUGCUACCGGUGGCAUUCGGCCGUCAUAGCAGCUGCUCAUAGACACCGCUGUGCUGCUGCAGGAUGCCCUGGUCCUGGUACGUCGACGCUGCCUUUCCCGCUGCUUGUGUGUUUGGUGGUGCAUACUAUCUCACCACCCGGUAUCGUCACUCGCCUGGUGGUGUUUCCCUUCUGUGACCCGUAAACAGCCCAUCCCAACAUCGUCCUCACCGCAAUCGGUCACCCAGAUUGAGGCUCCAGCGGUGGAAGUAGUAGGAGCACAUUCUCCAAGCCGAUUGGGAUUCUCCAAGCCUGGUACCAUCGGUGUACCAUCCUCCUGAUGUUCCGCUGGCCGAUCCUUUGUCCAUUUUUGUAGGCCAUUGAUUCCGGACUGAAGUUCUUUCCUCUACAUUCGGUUGCAGAUUUGGACAUCGCUACUAAACCGGGGUAAGAAUGCUUCAGACAAAUGGCGAGUAGCAGCAAAUGAAUUAUCUCGAAAACUAAGCGUCGAAGGAGAAAAACGAGAAACGUUCUCUUUCGCUGCACGCAUCCAAAUCCCGAUGUAAAUUGAAGUGUUCGAUGGCUUUUUCCAUCACGAAUCAUGUACCAAAAUUCGGUUCAUUUUCCGGAGGCCGUUUUCAAAUGACAGCCCGUGGUGCGUUCUGCAGAAGGACUUUGACUCCGAUUUUGAGUAACGAGUGUUGGUCGUACCUACGCAAAUGGUCGUUCCAAAUUUGGUCUACUAGCCGCGCCCUAUCCAACGAGGGAUAACAAUGGAUCCGGGAAGGGUGAAAAAACAUUCCCACACCUGUGUGUAAAACGGUGAAAAUUUCACACAAAAUCACGUUUUUUGACUGGAAGAGUCGAGCUGAGUGGUUCCUAGGAGGACACGCUUGUGAGACAAAAGUUGCACAACUUGUACCGACGCGUCUGUCGCUGCCUGAUAUAGCUUUGUAUUAGUUUCCGUUCGAAAGUAAUUUGACGUUUUUCCUUCCUGCAGUAUGGAACAGGGAGGGCGGGAGGAGGUGCAAUACCCCACCGUCGGAUAGUACUUGGCGAGAGCUUUCCAUCGAUGCCCCGCACGCACGCCCUUAUAUAAGCUCGCGUUCGAAAGCUAUGCUCAUGUAAAGGUGGCCUAUCAAAAUUUGUGUUCGUGGAUCGGCGUCGGCAGUGGAAAACAUCCCCACAAUGUACGUUUGAAGUUGAUGCUGUCCGGCGAGAAAGAGUGGAAAAUCGCAAUCAUUGCAAACUCGAAAAUUAACUCGUGUUAUAUAGG
Anopheles merus is the source of this 1444-nucleotide long non-coding RNA. RefSeq lists it as uncharacterized. The record is from RefSeq and is a predicted model, not a curated record. NCBI's taxonomy places the organism in Eukaryota, Metazoa, Arthropoda, Insecta, Diptera, Culicidae. The transcript is spliced from 3 exons.